This 465-nucleotide ribosomal RNA is filed under the name uncultured bacterium. Its description in RNAcentral is "partial 16S ribosomal RNA". It matches the Rfam family "Bacterial small subunit ribosomal RNA", at positions 339 to 795 of the family's 1533-position model. The record is from RNAcentral.
CUACGGGUCGCUGCAGUGGGGAAUAUUGGACAAUGGGGGAAACCCUGAUCCAGCAAUGCCGCGUGUGUGAAGAAGGCCUGCGGGUUGUAAAGCACUUUCGGUUGGGAGGACUGCUUCUAGCACUAAUAUUGUUGGAAGUUGACGUUACCUUCAGAAGAAGCACCGGCUAACUCCGUGCCAGCAGCCGCGGUAAUACGGAGGGUGCAAGCGUGAAUCGGAAUUACUGGGCGUAAAGCGCGCGUAGGCGGCUAGAUCAGUCGGGUGUGAAAGCCCCGGGCUUAACCUGGGAACUGCAUCCGAUACUGUCUAGCUUGAGUACAGGAGAGGAGAGUGGAAUUCCACAUGUAGCGGUGAAAUGCGUAGAUAUGUGGAAGAACACCAAUGGCGAAGGCAGCUCUCUGGCCUGAUACUGACGCUGAGGUGCGAAAGCGUGGGGGGCAAACAGGAUUAGAUACCCUUGUAGUC